Molecule: long non-coding RNA, 844 nt
Organism: Meriones unguiculatus (Mongolian gerbil)
Lineage: Eukaryota; Metazoa; Chordata; Mammalia; Rodentia; Muridae
Exons: 4
Source: RefSeq, a predicted model, not a curated record
UCCGAGCUCCUCGGAGGGCCCGCGCCCCCGGCGGGAGAGGGGCUGCGCUCGCUGCCGCUGCUCCACACCCCGAGGAGUCCCCAGUACCCCCAGCGCUCGCUCGCUCGCUCGCUCGCUCGCUCGGAGAGCCGGGGAGCAGGAGAGAGGGACCCCCACUUAGACCCUGAGUAGGGAGGGAGUAGAGGGGGUCGACAGAUUGGGCUGAGUGAUCGUAACCCGGUCCCUGGAGGCAGCUUUCUGGGAGUCCAGCCCCUUCCCCCCCGGAGGAUGCAAAUUCCGUAGGGAGUUUGAAUCCACCAACUUUGCUUCCUGGGAUUUUGGCAUUCUAGUUGUCAGCUCAUCCUAAGCCCUCCUGAGCCUGAGUUUGUUCAUCUGAGAACAUAACAUUGGGUGAAGACUCCUGAAGACCCUCCGGGCCAACGUCCACCGCGUUGUCUGACUCCCUUGAGUGAAUUCAGAGAUUUCCUGUCCUGCAUCUGUUUCUCCUCUGCCAGUGCAAGCCUCCCCACACUACACUAGUCUUAAGCCUGCCCUCUCCGUAUUUGUUGUACUAAAAGACCCCAGGUGUUCUGAAUAUCAGUUACUAAUACCCCUACACUCAUGAAUGCAACAUCGAGCCCCAUCCGCCAUGCUCACCACUUUUUUGACAUUAUUCUUAGAAAUUUCCCCGCAUAUUUUCCUGAUAACACCGAAGAGAUUACCGUUUCCCAACUUAGAGAUUUCAUCCUUGAUCUCUUUCUUCAGGGUGAUCUCAUAGAUUUCACUUGGGAUGAAGUGACACAGUUUCUGGAACUUCCAUAAAGCAUGCCGUUAUGUCCCUCCUUACAAUAAAAGUGGAUCUCAA